GUUGAAGGAUACAAGAGCAUUUGCUCCUCACCAAACUUUAACCUGUUCUUCAUUUCAACAACAAUGGUGCGUUUUGUCAUAAUGAUAAACUGAAAACUGAAAGUAAAAGAAUCGUCACCGACAGUCAGAGACUGCUCUGUCAACCGUUCCCUAUAGGGGUGUCUGAGCGGCUGCUGCAUCUGAAGUCACUGGAGGUCAGGGCAGUGAUCCUGGAGGGGUUGUUCCAGGGCAUGCUUCCAUAAUUCACAGCUUAUAACAGAAAGCAGCAAAGCAAAGUAUUCUUUAAGGUAUUGGCUGGAGCAUGGUGUGUCAGGGUUAGGGAUCUGUGACACAGAAGCAGCCUUCUCUGCAAAGGAUCUGGAUCAGAUGAAUCAGCCUCUAGCCCUCUUCCAUUCUCUGAGUCAGUCGUGUGCUCGUGAAGAGGCUCUACACUUUGGCAGAUUCACCUUCCUUUCCUUCAACGCCAGCAUGUCAUGCUCUGGCCUCAAUUCUACAGCCACACCUCCUAUAGCUUUCCUGCGCUCAUGGGCCUGCGUUCACUUCCUGAACCUGUUUAAUUUGGGUUCUGAACCUCACACUCUGGAUCCAGACUGGGCUCCCAGCUUACCUGUAACCAGCACAGAUCUUGACCGAUUUGGCCCCAUGUCUCUAAGGUCAAUAAAAAUGCAGCCACACGAGGCCAUUGUAAUAAAACUGCUUGAAUCUGACAACUCUUAAGACAAGUGGUUACCAGGCACACUGGAAUCUGGUUUGUCAGUCUAUAAGCAGAAGAUCGGAUCAAGGAAGAGUCGUGGAAGGAAUCCAGAUACGGUUGCAGUCCUGCUCUCUCUCCCUUUGUCAUUUUUUGACUUUACUCACACACAAGAAAAAAGGAAAUCCAGAAAAUAAGAGACACCGGAAUUUCCUACACUGUUUACUCCAAACUUUCCCAUACUGUUUAAACUUCAGAUAUUUAGAAAGAGACUGUCUGGAUGAACUGAGAUACAGGUAUAAAGAGCCAAGGAACUGUCACCUCAAAAGUAUUUACCUUUCAAUUUUGUAGUGGCAUGUGAUGAGACUCUUCAGAGGAGGGAUGACAGAAAUUAUGAUUGCAAGAAAGACUGGAUUUUCGGAAACUGUAACAUUUUAUUUCACCAUUUCAAUAAAAACCUUUAACAAAUACCUCAAAUGUCAUUC
Long non-coding RNA from Cyprinus carpio carpio, 1176 nucleotides. The record is from Ensembl. NCBI's taxonomy places the organism in Eukaryota, Metazoa, Chordata, Actinopteri, Cypriniformes, Cyprinidae.